UAAAUGUAUCGGAGGCCCCUAGUA
RNAcentral lists this non-coding RNA (24 nucleotides) under Mus musculus (house mouse). The record is from RNAcentral. Lineage: Eukaryota; Metazoa; Chordata; Mammalia; Rodentia; Muridae.